This 480-nucleotide ribosomal RNA is filed under the name uncultured bacterium. RNAcentral's name for it is "SSU rRNA". It matches the Rfam family "Bacterial small subunit ribosomal RNA", at positions 26 to 521 of the family's 1533-position model. The record is from RNAcentral.
AGGACGAACGCUGGCGGCGUGCCUAACACAUGCAAGUCGAGCGAUGAAGCUUCCUUCGGGAAGUGGAUUAGCGGCGGACGGGUGAGUAACACGUGGGUAACCUGCCUCAAAGAGUGGGAUAGCCUCCCGAAAGGGAGAUUAAUACCGCAUAAUAUUAUUUUAUGGCAUCGUAGAAUAAUCAAAGGAGCAAUCCGCUUUGAGAUGGACCCGCGGCGCAUUAGCUAGUUGGUGAGGUAACGGCUCACCAAGGCGACGAUGCGUAGCCGACCUGAGAGGGUGAUCGGCCACAUUGGAACUGAGACACGGUCCAGACUCCUACGGGAGGCAGCAGUGGGGAAUAUUGCGCAAUGGGGGAAACCCUGACGCAGCAACGCCGCGUGAGUGAUGAAGGUUUUCGGAUCGUAAAACUCUGUCAUUAGGGACGAUAAUGACGGUACCUAAUGAGGAAGCCACGGCUAACUACGUGCCAGCAGCCGCGGU